Molecule: ribosomal RNA, 303 nt
Filed under: uncultured bacterium
Lineage: Bacteria
Description: partial 16S ribosomal RNA
Rfam family: Bacterial small subunit ribosomal RNA
Source: RNAcentral
AGCAGUCGCCACGGUAAUACGUAGGGUGCAAGCGUUAAUCGGAAUUACUGGGCGUAAAGCGUGCGCAGGCGGUUUGUUAAGACAGAUGUGAAAUCCCCGGGCUCAACCUGGGAACUGCAUUUGUGACUGGCAAGCUAGAGUCUGGCAGAGGGGGGUGGAAUUCCGCGUGUAGCAGUGAAAUGCGUAGAUAUGCGGAGGAACACCGAUGGCGAAGGCAGCCCCCUGGGCCAACACUGACGCUCAUGCACGAAAGCGUGGGGAGCAAACAGGAUUAGAGACCCCCGUAGUCCCUGUCUCUUAUAC